RNAcentral lists this ribosomal RNA (639 nucleotides) under uncultured marine eukaryote. Its description in RNAcentral is "SSU rRNA". It matches the Rfam family "Eukaryotic small subunit ribosomal RNA", at positions 617 to 1258 of the family's 1831-position model. The record is from RNAcentral.
GGUUAAAAAGCUCGUAGUUGGAUUUCUGUCGAGGGCGGCCGGUCCGCACUAUGUGCGUGUAUCUGGUUCGGUCUUGGCAUCCUCUUGGGGAACGUUUCUGUGCUUGAGUGCAUGGCGGCGGAAUUCAAGACUUUUACUUUGAGGAAAUUAGAGUGUUCACGGCAAGCUAUCGCUUUGAAUACAUUAGCAUGGAAUAAUAAUAUAGGGCGUAAGUUCUAUUUUGUUGGUUUCUAGGACAUACGCAAUGAUUAAUAGGGAUAAUUGGGGGCAUUCGUAUUAACGCGUCAGAGGUGGAAUUCUUAGAUUGCGUUACGACGAACUACUGCGAAAGCAUUUGCCAAGGAUGUUUUCAUUGAUCAAGAACGAAAGUAUGGGGAUCGAAGACGAUUAGAUACCGUCGUAGUCUAUACCAUAAACUAUGCCAACUAGGGAUUGGAGGUCGUUCUUUUUAUGACUCCUUCAGCAUCUUAUGAGAAAUCAAAGUCUUUGGGUUCCGGGGGGAGUAUGGUCGCAAGGCUGAAACUUAAAGGAAUUGACGGAAAGGCACCACCAGGAGUGGAGCCUGCGGCUUAAUUUGACUCAACACGGGAAAACUUACCAGGUCCAGACAUAGUAAGGAUUGACAGAUUGAUAAGCUCU